Molecule: ribosomal RNA, 468 nt
Filed under: uncultured bacterium
Lineage: Bacteria
Description: partial 16S ribosomal RNA
Rfam family: Bacterial small subunit ribosomal RNA
Source: RNAcentral
GACGAACGCUGGCGGCGUGCUUAACACAUGCAAGUCGAACGGAAAGGCCCUGCUUUUGUGGGGUGCCCGAUUGGCGAACGGGUGAGUAACACGUGAGUAACCUGCCCUUGACUUUGGGAUAAGUUCAGGAAACUGGGGCUAAUACCGGAUAGGAGCUCCUGCUGCAUGGUGGGGGUUGGAUAUUUUCGGCGGUUGGGGAUGGAGUGGCGGCUGAUCAGCUUGUUGGUGGGGUAGGGGCUUACCCAGGCUUUGACUGGUAGCCGGCCUGAGAGGGUGAACGGCCACAUUGGGACUGAGAGACGGCCCAGACGCCUACGGGAGGCAGCAGUGAGGAAUAUUGCACAAUGGGAGGACGCCUGAUGCAGAAACGCCGCGUGCGGGAUGCCGGCCUUCGGGUUGUAAACCGCUUUCGCCUGUGACGAAGCGUGAGUGACGGUAAUGGGUAAAGAAGCACCGGCUAACUACGUG